AACAGGAUUAGAUACCCUGGUAGUCCACGCUGUAAACGAUGUCGACUUGGAGGUUGUGCCCUUGAGGCGUGGCUUCCGGAGCUAACGCGUUAAGUCGACCGCCUGGGGAGUACGGCCGCAGGGUUAAAACUCAAAUGAAUUGACGGGGGCCCGCACAAGCGGUGGAGCAUGUGGUUUAAUUCGAUGCAACGCGAAGAACCUUACCUACUCUUGACAUCCAGAGAAUUUGCUAGAGAUAGCUUAGUGCCUUCGGGAACUCUGAGACAGGUGCUGCAUGGCUGUCGUCAGCUCGUGUUGUGAAAUGUUGGGUUAAGUCCCGCAACGAGCGCAACCCUUAUCCUUUGUUGCCAGCACGUAAUGGUGGGAACUCAAAGGAGACUGCCGGUGAUAAACCGGAGGAAGGUGGGGAUGACGUCAAGUCAUCAUGGCCCUUACGAGUAGGGCUACACACGUGCUACAAUGGCAUAUACAAAGAGAAGCGAACUCGCGAGAGCAAGCGGACCUCAUAAAGUAUGUCGUAGUCCGGAUUGGAGUCUGCAACCCGACUCCAUGAAGUCGGAAUCGCUAGUAAUCGUAGAUCAGAAUGCAACGGUGAAUACGUUCCCGGGCCUUGUACACACCGCCCGUCACACCAUGGGAGUGGGUUGCAAAAGAAGUAGGUAGCUUAACCUUCGGGAGGGCGCUUACCACUUUGUGAUUCAUGACUGGGGUGAAGUCGUAACAAGGUAACC
Molecule: ribosomal RNA, 731 nt
Filed under: uncultured bacterium
Lineage: Bacteria
Description: bacterial SSU rRNA
Rfam family: Bacterial small subunit ribosomal RNA
Source: RNAcentral